GGUGUGAGAGCCCAGCCUGUUCCCCUUUUUGCGCCCAUCCCCGGCUCGGCCGCCACCCCGCCCGCCCGCCCCAUUCCGUUCCCCUGAGCUGGCCGGGCCGGAGCCUCAUUUUGUUUUCUACUUUUUUCUCUCCUAUGUGCAUCCCCCCAGGAGCUGGCUAAAUAUGAAUACAUGGAAGAACAAGUAAUCUUAACUGAAAAAGAUCUGCUAGAAGAUGGUUUUGGAGAGCACCCCUUUUACCACUGCCUGGUUGCAGAAGUGCCGAAAGAGCACUGGACUCCGGAAGGUAACCCCUCGCCCUUUCCAGAAGCCAGAGAGACCAAGUGUUAUGUAAGAAGUAGUGUCGGCUGUGUAGAACCACUGACUACACAGGCCGAAGUUACUGAGAACUUGGACAGAAAAAAUAGCCAGCAAGUGUUCAAACUACUGAGG
RNAcentral lists this small RNA (432 nucleotides) under Pan troglodytes (chimpanzee). RNAcentral's name for it is "processed transcript". Lineage: Eukaryota; Metazoa; Chordata; Mammalia; Primates; Hominidae. The record is from RNAcentral.